RNAcentral lists this ribosomal RNA (833 nucleotides) under uncultured Bacteroidota bacterium. RNAcentral's name for it is "bacterial SSU rRNA". It matches the Rfam family "Bacterial small subunit ribosomal RNA", at positions 34 to 868 of the family's 1533-position model. Lineage: Bacteria; Pseudomonadati; Bacteroidota. The record is from RNAcentral.
GGCUGCGGCAGCUAUACAUGCAAGUCGAGGGGUAACGUGUUCUGCUUGCAGAAUGACGACGACCGGCGCACGGGUGCGUAACGCGUAUGCAACCUACCUUAUACAGGGGGAUAGCCCAGAGAAAUUUGGAUUAAUACCCCAUAGUACUCAUUUACCUCAUGGUUUAUGAUUUAAAACUCCGGUGGUAUAAGAUGGGCAUGCGUUAGAUUAGCUAGUUGGUAAGGUAACGGCUUACCAAGGCGACGAUCUAUAGGGGGUCUGAGAGGAUGAUCCCCCACACUGGAACUGAGACACGGUCCAGACUCCUACGGGAGGCAGCAGUAAGGAAUAUUGGUCAAUGGAGGCAACUCUGAACCAGCCAUGCCGCGUGUGCGAAGAAGGCGUUCUGCGUCGUAAAGCACUUUUAAAUAGGAAGAAACGCUCUUUGCGAAGAGCUAUGACGGUACUAUCAGAAUAAGGACCGGCUAACUCCGUGCCAGCAGCCGCGGUAAUACGGAGGGUCCGAGCGUUGUCCGGAAUUAUUGGGUUUAAAGGGUACGUAGGCGGAUUGAUCAGUCAGAGCUGAAAUCCUAUGGCUUAACCAUAGAACUGGCUUUGAUACUGUCAAUCUUGAGUACGGUAGAGGUAGGCGGAAUUUAUGAUGUAGCGGUGAAAUGCAUAGAUAUCAUAAAGAACACCGAUAGCGAAGGCAGCUUGCUGGACCGUAACUGACGCUAAUGUACGAAAGUGCGGGUAUCGAACAGGAUUAGAUACCCUGGUAGUCCGCACCGUAAACGAUGCUCACUCGUUGUUGGCGAUAGACAGUCAGCGACCAAGCGAAAGCGUUAAGUGAG